Molecule: ribosomal RNA, 387 nt
Filed under: Triticum aestivum (bread wheat)
Lineage: Eukaryota; Viridiplantae; Streptophyta; Magnoliopsida; Poales; Poaceae
Description: partial small subunit ribosomal RNA
Source: RNAcentral
AUGUCUAUUCCAUGUGGAAAAGAAAAACUGCGAACAAAAGCCAAAGGAACUUGUUACACGACCAAGCAUCCCACCCAUGCAGGGAUGUUUUUCCCAUUAGCCUCGAGCGGUGAGUUCACUGAGCGUCACAGUCCUCGUUUCUGCUGGAGGAUACAUGCAUCUGUGAUACGUAGGUUGAAAGGCAUCUUCAACCAGCCACCUCUUGAAUCCCCAGUCUCCGUCCACAGACUUCAUUUGCUACUUGCUCGAAUAUUUUACCACCCACAUCAUCAUCAGCUCUGUGUAUGUUUUGACUGCAUUUCUGAAAUGGUUGAUUUCCUUGAGCAGGGGAAGUCUCUCACUGCUGCUGGAGAUUGGGAUGCGACGCGUCCUCCGACAUGUCUCUAG